GACGAACGCUGGCGGCGUGCCUAAUACAUGCAAGUCGAACGAACCGCGACUAAGUGCCUGCCCUAAGUCAAGGUGAGUGGCGAACGGGUGAGUAACACGUGGGUAACCUACCUCAUAGUGGGGGAUAACAGUCGGAAACGACUGCUAAUACCGCAUAGGACAUAGGAUCACAUGAUCCAGUGAGGAAAGGUGGCGCAAGCUAUCGCUAAGAGAUGGACCCGCGGUGCAUUAGCUAGUUGGUAGGGUAAAGGCCUACCAAGGCGAUGAUGCAUAGCCGACCUGAGAGGGUGAUCGGCCACAUUGGGACUGAGACACGGCCCAAACUCCUACGGGAGGCAGCAGUAGGGAAUCUUCCGCAAUGGACGCAAGUCUGACGGAGCAACGCCGCGUGAGUGAAGAAGGUCUUCGGAUCGUAAAGCUCUGUUGUUAGAGAAGAACAGCGCAUAGAGUAACUGCUAUGCGUGUGACGGUAUCUAACCAGAAAGCCACGGCUAACUACGUG
RNAcentral lists this ribosomal RNA (502 nucleotides) under uncultured bacterium. Its description in RNAcentral is "partial 16S ribosomal RNA". It matches the Rfam family "Bacterial small subunit ribosomal RNA", at positions 28 to 507 of the family's 1533-position model. The record is from RNAcentral.